RNAcentral lists this ribosomal RNA (468 nucleotides) under uncultured bacterium. RNAcentral describes it as "partial 16S ribosomal RNA". It matches the Rfam family "Bacterial small subunit ribosomal RNA", at positions 28 to 507 of the family's 1533-position model. The record is from RNAcentral.
GACGAACGCUGGCGGCGUGCUUAACACAUGCAAGUCGAACGGAAAGGCCCUGCUUUUGUGUUCUGCCCGUGUGGCGAACGAGUGAGUAACACACGAGUAACCAGCCCUUCACUUUGAGGUAACCUAAAGAAACAGAGGAUUAUUACUAAUAGGUACUCCUGCUCCUCGGUGGGGGGUAGAGAGGUACGGCGGUCUGGGAUGGUCUCGCGGCUUAUCCGCUGGGUGGUGGGGUAGUGUCUUUACAAGGCUUUGAAGGGUAGCCGGCCUGGGAGGGUGACCGGCCACAGUGGGACUGAGGUACGGCCCAUACUGCUACUGGCGGCAGAAGUGGGAAAUAUUGCGAGAUGGGCGGAGUCCUGAUGCAGGAACGCCGGGUGCGGGAUGACGGCCUUCGGGUAGGAAACCGCUUUCUCCUGUUAGGAAGCGUGAGUGACGGUAAUGGGUAAAGAAGCCACGGCUAACUACGUG